Molecule: ribosomal RNA, 462 nt
Filed under: Nocardia asiatica
Lineage: Bacteria; Bacillati; Actinomycetota; Actinomycetes; Mycobacteriales; Nocardiaceae
Description: bacterial SSU rRNA
Rfam family: Bacterial small subunit ribosomal RNA
Source: RNAcentral
GACGAACGCUGGCGGCGUGCUUAACACAUGCAAGUCGAGCGGUAAGGCCCUUCGGGGUACACGAGCGGCGAACGGGUGAGUAACACGUGGGUGAUCUGCCUCGCACUUCGGGAUAAGCCUGGGAAACUGGGUCUAAUACCGGAUAUGACCUGCUGUCGCAUGGCGGUGGGUGGAAAGAUUUAUCGGUGCGAGAUGGGCCCGCGGCCUAUCAGCUUGUUGGUGGGGUAAUGGCCUACCAAGGCGACGACGGGUAGCCGGCCUGAGAGGGCGACCGGCCACACUGGGACUGAGACACGGCCCAGACUCCUACGGGAGGCAGCAGUGGGGAAUAUUGCACAAUGGGCGAAAGCCUGAUGCAGCGACGCCGCGUGAGGGAUGACGGCCUUCGGGUUGUAAACCUCUUUCGACAGGGACGAAGCGUGAGUGACGGUACCUGUAGAAGAAGCACCGGCCAACUACGUG